Molecule: transfer RNA, 84 nt
Filed under: Felis catus (domestic cat)
Lineage: Eukaryota; Metazoa; Chordata; Mammalia; Carnivora; Felidae
Rfam family: tRNA
About the family: Transfer RNA (tRNA) molecules are approximately 80 nucleotides in length.
Source: Rfam by way of RNAcentral
GCCUGGGUGGCUCAGUGGUUGAGCCUCCGACUUCGGCUCAGGUCAUGAUCUCACAGUUCGUGGGUUCGAGCCCCACGUCGGGCU